UUUUAGCAGGCUGCGUUCGGGAUAGUAGCGGCAUCCUUUGCUUGCUUUCUUUAAGCAAGUAAAGAUAUAGCGGAUAGCGCGAGAAAAC
This 88-nucleotide small RNA is filed under the name Flavobacterium crassostreae. Its description in RNAcentral is "Flavo-1 RNA". It matches the Rfam family "Flavo-1 RNA". Lineage: Bacteria; Pseudomonadati; Bacteroidota; Flavobacteriia; Flavobacteriales; Flavobacteriaceae. The record is from Rfam by way of RNAcentral.